GCCACGGCGGCAUCCCGAGGCCGCGGGCAGGUAAAGUGAGGCACCUUCCCAAGAGCGCAGGGUCAGGCCCCGCGGCGCCCGCCGGCCGUGGUCUAGGAGCUGAGAAACGAUACCCCUGCUGCGAUGGGCUCCGAGGGGAGACCCGAGAGCCAGGGGAGAGCCAGGGCUGUUCCCUGGAUUAAAGCUCAGCCUUGACCGUCCUGGCAGAAAACAGGAAGCGACCGCGCUGGCUCCCAGAGUAUGCAAGCUCCUUGUGGCCAGGGCUAGAGAGCUGUCCUCCCGGCCAGGCAGACCUGUCCUGGGCUCCUGCCCUGCUUCUGACACUUACUGACUGUGUGACCUUGGGCAAGUGACUUAACGUGUCGGGGCUCCUGGCGACUCUCCAAGACUGCCCAUCGCAGAGAAGAGAGCGCCAGGCCGCAUCUCUGGAGGGAUCUUUCUGUUCCUACAUUUAUGAACUCUCAGGACUAGUCCUGUUCCCUGCCCGGUCUUGGCCCCAGCAAACAAGAGCACAACCUCUGGUACCAGAGAAGAAAAGACAAGAACAAAAUGGGCCUGUCUGCAAUAUUCUUUGGAGGAGGAAAAAAAAAUGUGGUAAAGCUUCCAUGUGGCCAGUCUUCCUCAUCCUCCUGGACACGCUCCACUGGACACCCUUCAGCUGGUUACUUUCCUUCCUCAGAGAAAUGAGGCACUUCCUGUUUUGCUGACGGGGCUGAAGGACAAGUUGGAGCUUGACAAUCUUUCCAAGAAAGGAGAAGGGAGGAUGAUCUCCACAGGCUGGGUAGAUGCCCAGAAGGGAGGGGCAGCAAGGAGCUGCCUCUGUUGAGUCUCCUGCUCAGGGUGCACACGCAUGCAGCUGUUCAGAGUAGAAGGUCUGGUGUCAUGACAAAGGCUUCCAUGAAAGAGAGCCCAGAGUUCUGGGUUUGAGUUCUGCCUCUGCCACAUAGCCGCCAGGGUAUCUUGGGGAACACGGCCCAUCUCUGGCUGUCCAGUUCCCUGAGCAGAAAAUGAGGAGGUUGGACUAGGUCAUCCUGAAGUUCCCCCCAGCUCUGCAAGCUUGGCAGGGGCUCCA
Molecule: non-coding RNA, 1072 nt
Organism: Phascolarctos cinereus (koala)
Lineage: Eukaryota; Metazoa; Chordata; Mammalia; Diprotodontia; Phascolarctidae
Source: RefSeq, a predicted model, not a curated record